AAAAGAGAAACACUUCCAUGCAUAAUAAAAAUGCAUUUCCAAUCUAACAAAUGUUUUACCCAAAUGCAUCUAAGAUGUUAGUUACAGCUGAUACAAUUUAAGAUUCAUAUUUACUAUUUUUUAGAGGUAUUUUUGAGAAGACCAGACACAGACAGGACGUGCCUAGGCUAUUGUCCAAUAUUCUUAAGAUAGUUGGAUUCAAGAAACAGUAAGAAGGGUUAGAAUACUGGGAACACAAAAAAUUCAAUAUAUAUCGGAGUACAUCACAAAGAAAAAUUAGUUUCAUCUAUUUUACUUAUGCUAUU
Molecule: unclassified non-coding RNA, 305 nt
Filed under: Hevea brasiliensis (rubber tree)
Lineage: Eukaryota; Viridiplantae; Streptophyta; Magnoliopsida; Malpighiales; Euphorbiaceae
Source: RNAcentral